Triticum aestivum (bread wheat) is the source of this 632-nucleotide long non-coding RNA. RefSeq lists it as uncharacterized. NCBI's taxonomy places the organism in Eukaryota, Viridiplantae, Streptophyta, Magnoliopsida, Poales, Poaceae. The transcript is spliced from 4 exons. The record is from RefSeq and is a predicted model, not a curated record.
GUCGCCGCUGCACGGAAUACCACCAUGAGCACGGCCUCCUCAGCUGCUCCGACUCUCCGUAGUACUGCUCCUCCAGCUACCGGCCCUUCCCCUUCUAUUUUGAAUUUUCUAGAACAAUGGGUAAGCAGCUACCAACUAUGAAUGGAAUAAGUCUAAAAAGAAGCUUGGGUAUGCUGAUAUGUGCCUUCAGGUUAUAAGAUAAGGGAGCAAGUGAAACAACCCAGAAGCUUAUGAUAUUGUUACUGUGGAGAUACCCGGAAGCUUGCAUAUCCAGAAUCGAUCUUCACUUCAGCUACAAGUGAGAGGUAUUGCUGCCGAGCGUGACACCGCGCCGAUCUAUUUGAGCCCAACUGCAUCAAUUUUAGACGGAAGAUAAUGAUGCAAGGAGACCACCUGAGCACCUCCACUCCCUCAACACUGUCCCCCUACUGCCUGAGGUACAACACGACCAUAUUACUCACUUCGUUCGCUGCAGCGACCACAAAGUGGUUGGGCGGUGAGGGCGCUUCUCUUUCUGACCUAUUGACGAUGAUGAUGGUUCUCUACUUAUAAAAUUUUUUCAUUUCAGUUUACUGAAUAUUUUUUCUUGCUUCAACUAUAUCAAGGGAGCAAGUGCAACAACCCAGAAGCUU